UGCCAAAGUAAUGUUAACUUUAUCUAUAAUGCGGCAUGCAGCAAGGUUGUCGUGGAGACGGAGUUGUUCUUCCAUCCGAUCCCUUUCAGCACAGAAUUUAAAGUACCGUCUUUUCUCACAACUGAUCAUUUUGCGUAAGCACUUGCUUUUGAAGUCCGCCAGCAAGAUGAGACAGUCAUGUGGUACACGGAUAUUCAUGACACACUUUGGGAGAACUUGAUUAGUAACACAUUCCUGGAGAAAUUCAUACUUCAUUAGGCUCUUCAGAAACUUAACGCUCACUCUGGAAAAAUCCGUGGCCAGCUUAGCCAUACGAACACAUCAAAUUGAAAACUAGGUCUCAGAAUAGGAU
RNAcentral lists this long non-coding RNA (352 nucleotides) under Androctonus crassicauda. The record is from RNAcentral. Lineage: Eukaryota; Metazoa; Arthropoda; Arachnida; Scorpiones; Buthidae.